CUCAAACACCACACACCGUUAUCAUCAAUAUCGCGUCACUGAUUGCUCUCUCUCGCUUUCGCUCUCACUCCGAUCUUGCUCUGUUCGCGAUUCUGCUCCGAUCUCACUCUCCCUUCGAUCUUGCUCCGAUCUCAAUCUCCUUCGAUCCUCUUCGCCGCAUUCCUCCUUCCUCGUGAUUGUUAUUCUUCGUUGAAAUUUGAUGUUGUAGUGCUCGAUUCUUCUCCGAUUUGGCGAACCGUAUAUGGAAGCGUGGAUUUCCCCAAACUAACUUUUAGUGAAAGGGUGAAGCUUAGAGCUGGUGUUAACAAAAUCUCCCUUCUGAGUGUUGCAGUUGGGCUUCCGUAAGCAUUAUCAGGUUCACUAGUCGUUGAAUUUAGUUGUUGCAUCUUCAUCAAAAGCUUAAGUUCGCAGGCUAUGCUGAAACAAGAGGUUUCUACUGCAUCAUCAAAAACCGCUGCUCUUAAAAAAGGUGAUCGAGUAAAAUUUGUCGGUAAAUUUCCACCUGCUGUCUUAUCACUACAAAAUUAUUCUUCAAGGGCGGAUUCUAGCGUGACAGAGCCACUUAUAUGUCUCACCCGUGAGAGACUGAAUUUUAACCGCUGGAUGAGUUAAACGGUUGUGAUGUUGUACUUGGAGAGGGGGAAAUUCCUGCAGUUAUACCAGGUGAAUAUUUUAUUACU
Long non-coding RNA from Trifolium pratense (red clover), 680 nucleotides. RefSeq lists it as uncharacterized. The transcript is spliced from 5 exons. The record is from RefSeq and is a predicted model, not a curated record. NCBI's taxonomy places the organism in Eukaryota, Viridiplantae, Streptophyta, Magnoliopsida, Fabales, Fabaceae.